AUUGAACGCUGGCGGCAUGCCUUACACAUGCAAGUCGAACGGCAGCACGGGUGCUUGCACCUGGUGGCGAGUGGCGAACGGGUGAGUAAUACAUCGGAACGUACCUUAUCGUGGGGGAUAACGCAGCGAAAGCUGUGCUAAUACCGCAUACGCCCUGAGGGGGAAAGCGGGGGAUCGAAAGACCUCGCGCGAUUAGAGCGGCCGAUGCCUGAUUAGCUUGUUGGUGGGGUAAAAGCCCACCAAGGCGACGAUCAGUAGCUGGUCUGAGAGGACGAUCAGCCACACUGGGACUGAGACACGGCCCAGACUCCUACGGGAGGCAGCAGUGGGGAAUUUUGGACAAUGGGGGAAACCCUGAUCCAGCAAUGCCGCGUGAGUGAAGAAGGCCUUCGGGUUGUAAAGCUCUUUUGUCAGGGAAGAAACACCGGCUCUAACACAGUCCGGGAAUGACGGUACCUGAAGAAUAAGCACCGGCUAACUACGUG
RNAcentral lists this ribosomal RNA (485 nucleotides) under uncultured bacterium. RNAcentral's name for it is "bacterial SSU rRNA". It matches the Rfam family "Bacterial small subunit ribosomal RNA", at positions 30 to 507 of the family's 1533-position model. The record is from RNAcentral.